CACGUAGUUAGCCGGGGCUUCUUAGUCAGGUACCGUCAUUUUCUUCCCUGCUGAUAGAGCUUUACAUACCGAAAUACUUCUUCACUCACGCGGCGUCGCUGCAUCAGGGUUUCCCCCAUUGUGCAAUAUUCCCCACUGCUGCCUCCCGUAGGAGUUUGGGCCGUGUCUCAGUCCCAAUGUGGCCGUUCACCCUCCCAGGCCGGCUACUGAUCGUCGCCUUGGUAGGCCGUUACCCCACCAACCAGCUAAUCAGACGCGGGCUCAUCUUAUACUACCGGAGUUUUUCACACAGAAACAUGCGUUCCCGUGCGCUUAUGCGGUAUUAGCAGUCAUUUCUAACUGUUAUCCCCCUGUAUAAGGCAGAUUACCCACGUGUUACUCACCCGUCCGCCGCUAAGUCAAUUUCGAUUCCAUCCGAAAACUUCCUACAAAUCGCUUCGCUCGACUUGCAUGUGUUAGGCACGCCGCCAGCGUUCAUCCUGAGCCAGGAUCAAACUC
RNAcentral lists this ribosomal RNA (498 nucleotides) under uncultured Eubacteriales bacterium. RNAcentral's name for it is "uncultured Clostridiales bacterium partial 16S ribosomal RNA". The record is from RNAcentral. Lineage: Bacteria; Bacillati; Bacillota; Clostridia; Eubacteriales.